Long non-coding RNA from Erinaceus europaeus (western European hedgehog), 2506 nucleotides. RefSeq lists it as uncharacterized. The transcript has 2 exons. The record is from RefSeq and is a predicted model, not a curated record. Lineage: Eukaryota; Metazoa; Chordata; Mammalia; Eulipotyphla; Erinaceidae.
UUGCCUUCCUCCGUGCCCAAUAACAGUUAGUAAAAAUAGUCAAAGAUUUUCCCAGCCAGUCAUUUGGAGUCUCUUCUAAUCGCUAUGUCCAUGUAUAGCACUGCUUUGGGUAAUCACUAAAAAGGGUCAUGAACUGUUCUCUCUCUGGUCCUGCUGAGGAUCUGUGCUGCCCAUGUCAUGUGAUUGUAACUCUGGGUCAUUGGCCUCCAGACCAGGUACGGUGACAGAGUCCACUGACAGGUGAGCGUGGAGGCCUGGAGAGGCCCGUUCACUCUGCUUUCUGAGCAGUGGAGCCAGGACUCAAACCCAGCCAUCUAGAUUGCGAGGUUCACAGAUAAUCGACUAUUAUGACUGGUUCCCAUUUUUGUCCAAGGCUAGUUUUGUUCAGCAGUUGCAGAUAAUAGCAAUAUAAUACUGGAAGAACUCAAAACAGCAUACAAAAAAAAAAAAAAAAAGCAACAUGAUGAACUUGGAUCCUAUAGGGGAAUGGAUGUUCUUGGAAAAGUGGCAAAUCAAAGUGGAGUGAAAUCAGUGACUCAGUACAGCUUAAAGUUUCAACAUAAAAAUAAUAAUAGUGGGACAAGGGAGAUAGCAUAAUAGUUAUGCAAAGAGACUCUCACACCUGAGCCUCCAGUGUCCCAGAUUCAAUCCUCUGCACCAACACAAGACAGAACUGAGCAGCACUCUGGUAAAAUAAUAAUAAAAUAAAAUAAAAUAAUAAUAAUAAUAAUGCAGUGGAUAGAGCAUUGACCUCAAAAGCAUCAGGUCCUGAAUUCAAUUCCCAGUAUCAAAUGUGCCAGAGCGAUAUUCUGCGUUCUCUCACCACUUUCUUUUUUUUAAUUCUCUUUAUUUAUUUACUGGAUAGAGGCAGCCAGAAAUCGAGAGAGAAGGGGGUGCUAGAGAGGGAGAGAGACAGAGAGACACCUGCAGUCCUGCUUCACCACUUGUGAAACUUUGCCCCUGCAGGUGGGGACCAGGGGCUUGAACCCGGGUCCUUGUGCACUGUCACAUGUGUGCUCAACCAGGUGUCACCUCCAUCUUUAUCGUUGAUAAAUAAAUUUAAAAUAAGAAUAGAAUGACAUAGCAGCAUAAUAGUAAUGUAAUGGUAUUUGUCUUGAUUGAGAAACUGGAUAAUGAAAAAGCAGUGGUGAAGUCCAUUACAUUUUAGUUAAUUUAUGUCGAGGUCUUGAACACAUACUUGAACAAGACAGUCAGAAGAGCCAUGCAGAUGCUUUCCUGGCCCCUGUAGGUUUUACAGCCUGCAGGGUGGGCAUUCCUGAAGCAAGGAUUUUUCUAGAGCUGAGAUGCACAUGAGAACGUCGUCCCAGAGAAGAUUCCACUGCCUAAAUCAUGUUCCCUUCAGAGUGCAAUGUCACUCAGCAUCGGCCAGUUUGAGCAGCCUGGGCUCCAGACCCGAGUCAGCUGAGAGGCCCCUCCCUCCAGGGUCCACAUUCAAAUCCAGGAAGGUGGGGCUGGUGUUGGAGCACAGUAGAAUGAAGACUGUAUAAAUAUAGAAAAGUCUGUUUUGUUCUGGUAAAGCCUUAGUAUAAGGUUUUUACUCUGUGCACAACACAUUUUGAAGAAGUCUCCUCACUGCUUUGGCAGAAGCACCAUUUUGGGGUGGUAUUAUUAUUAUUAUUAUUAUUACUGAUUUCAUAAUGAUAGACAAGACUGUGGGAUAAGAGGGGUACAAUUCCACACAAUUCCCACCACCAGAGUUCCACAUCCCAUCCCCUCCAUUGGGAGCUUCCCUAUUCUUUAUCCCUUUGGGAGCAUGGACCCAGGAUCAUGAUGGUGCAGAAGGUGGGAAGUCUGGCUUCUAUAAUUGAGAAUCACUGUUGUUUUGUUUUGUUUUAAUGGGAAGGGAGAUGGGACCUGGGGAAUGGGCAGGAGAGUCACAAAUUUUAAUCACUCAGAAAGCCUAGACAAGUCCUAGGCUUUAAGCUCCACCUCUCAGAUUCCAGCAAGAUCCAUCUGAGGGUGACCCCAAGGACCAGACAACUUUGAGAAUCACUUCUGUCCAAGCAAGUCCUUUUCUCCCAUUUACUCAAUAUGAAAUUCUGAAAAUCUAGUCCUUGGGGGACCAGGCAGUGGGCACACGCAGUUGGGUCACCUGUUUCCACGCACAGGAAGUAGUGUUCAAGCCCCCGGUCCCAGCCCAGCUUCCGGAGCAGUGGAGCAAGUCUACAAGUAUCUUUCCCUCCCCUCUCAAUUUAUUUAUCAAAUAAAAUAGAAAGAAAGAAAAAAAAAGAGGGGGUUGGGUGGUAGCGCAGUGGGUUAAGCACACGUCGCUCAAAGCGCAAGGACCAGCCUAAGGAUCCUGGUUCAAGCCCCCGGCUCCCCACCUGCAGGGGAGUCGCUUCACAAAACGUGAAGCAGGUCUGCGGGUGUCUGUCUUUCUCCCUCUCUGUCUUCCCCUCCUCUCUCCAUUUCUCUCUGUCCUACCCAACAACAACAUCAAUAAUAACUACAACAAUAAAACAAGGGCAACAAAAGGGACUAAAUA